AGGGAAUAUUGCUCAAUGGGCGAAAGCCUGAAGCAGCAACGCCGCGUGGAGGAUGAAGGUCUUCGGAUUGUAAACUCCUUUUCUAAGAGAAGAUUAUGACGGUAUCUUAGGAAUAAGCACCGGCUAACUCCGUGCCAGCAGCCGCGGUAAUACGGAGGGUGCAAGCGUUACUCGGAAUCACUGGGCGUAAAGAGCACGUAGGCGGCCUUGCAAGUCAGAUGUGAAAUCCAACGGCUUAACCGUUGAACUGCAUUUGAAACUGCAAGGCUAGAGUAUGGGAGAGGUAGGUGGAAUUCUCGGUGUAGGGGUAAAAUCCGUAGAGAUCGAGAGGAAUACUCAUUGCGAAGGCGACCUGCUGGAACAUUACUGACGCUGAGGUGCGAAAGCGUGGGGAGCAAAC
This 400-nucleotide ribosomal RNA is filed under the name uncultured bacterium. RNAcentral's name for it is "bacterial SSU rRNA". It matches the Rfam family "Bacterial small subunit ribosomal RNA", at positions 356 to 773 of the family's 1533-position model. The record is from RNAcentral.